Molecule: transfer RNA, 72 nt
Filed under: Candidatus Woesebacteria bacterium
Lineage: Bacteria; Candidatus Woeseibacteriota
Description: tRNA-Ala
Rfam family: tRNA
About the family: Transfer RNA (tRNA) molecules are approximately 80 nucleotides in length. Their secondary structure includes four short double-helical elements and three loops (D, anti-codon, and T loops).
Source: RNAcentral
GGGCUGUUAGCUUAUCUGGUAGAGCACCGCAUUCGCAUUGCGGAGAGAGCAGUUCGACUCUGCUACAGUCCA